This 505-nucleotide ribosomal RNA is filed under the name uncultured bacterium. Its description in RNAcentral is "partial 16S ribosomal RNA". It matches the Rfam family "Bacterial small subunit ribosomal RNA", at positions 28 to 507 of the family's 1533-position model. The record is from RNAcentral.
GACGAACGCUGGCGGCGUGCCUAAUACAUGCAAGUGGGACGCAAGGACACACACUGUGCUUGCACACCGUGUUUUCUUGAGUCGCGAACGGGUGAGUAACGCGUAGGUAACCUGCCUAUUAGCGGGGGAUAACUAUUGGAAACGAUAGCUAAUACCGCAUAAUAUUAAUUAUUGCAUGAUAAUUGAUUGAAAGUUGCAAGCGCAUCACUAGUAGAUGGACCUGCGUUGUAUUAGCUAGUUGGUAAGGUAAGAGCUUACCAAGGCGACGAUACAUAGCCGACCUGAGAGGGUGAUCGGCCACACUGGGACUGAGACACGGCCCAGACGCCUUCGGGAGGCAGCAGUAGGGAAACUUCGGCAAUGGACGAAAGUCUGACCGAGCAACGCCGCGUGAGUGAAGAAGGUUUUCGGAUCGUAAAGCUCUGUUGUAAGUCAAGAACGUGUGUGAGAGUGGAAAGUUCACACAGUGACGGUAGCUUACCAGAAAGGGACGGCUAACUACGUG